UCCCUGGUGGUCCAGUGGUUAGGACUCCACACUUCCACUGGCGAGGGCCCAGGUUCAACCCCUGGUCAGGGAA
This is a non-coding RNA of Lipotes vexillifer (Yangtze River dolphin), 73 nucleotides long. The record is from the annotation of a RefSeq genome assembly. Lineage: Eukaryota; Metazoa; Chordata; Mammalia; Artiodactyla; Lipotidae.